Molecule: RNA transcript, 1223 nt
Organism: Phragmites australis (common reed)
Lineage: Eukaryota; Viridiplantae; Streptophyta; Magnoliopsida; Poales; Poaceae
Exons: 4
Source: RefSeq, a predicted model, not a curated record
AUCCUUGAUUUUAAAGGAAAAAACAAUUAAAAAGGUAAAUAAAAUAUGUUAACCGGCUGCUCCCGGUUACUAUCGACAGGCGACCCGCAUAAAUCACGGAAGAGGUCCUCUGGCUUCGCCGCUCGGUUGCAUGGCGAGAUUUUCUCCGCUCGGUGAUCCCCGAAAUCAUGGAAGAGCAGGGCAGGGCGGGUAGGAUUUCCUCCGCUUGCAUGGGGAGAUAUCCCCGAAUCAUAUGGCAGGGCAGGAUUUUCCCUUGGCGCUCGAUUUCCCUCCGCCACUGCCGGUUCCUCCUCAGAGAGCUCGAUUUCCCUCCCGGAUUUCGUCUUCCUACCGUCCACCACUGGUCUUCGCCGCCUCCAGUGCACCGCUAGGCUUGGGCUUCUUAUUCCUGCCGCCUUCAGCAGCGCCGCUCCGGUCUCCAAAGAUUAUUCAAACAUCGGAAGAAUUGGUGAACUGUGGGGCUGUGCUGUUGAAAGAUGGUUUGGUUCUUUGAACAUUUUCAAGCGGCUGGCGAUUGCUUUGAUUAUGCAUGCCAUGAGCAUCCUCUGAUUAAAAAUUGGGGUGGAAACAAGGUUGUGAAGCGGGCACAUCUUGAAGGGAUAAAGAAAUUUGGUGCUGAAAAGGUAGUUAUUAGGUUGCAACUCAAUGAUUCUGAAGUGCGUACUGAUUCUGAUCAUUGGAGGAGGAGAUUGGUGAGGGAUCUUUUGACGGAAUGAAUAGUGACUAUUUCGAAAAUAUGGAUUUCACUGACAAUGUAAUACAACUUUAAGUGCUGUGAAUUGCUGGACACGCUGAUGCGUGACCUCCUCGCGCUGCAGCGCUCGCGAUCGCUCCGGGACCCCUCCACAAGCUGCUCGAUCGACUCCGGUCCAACGGAGUCAACGUCGACCCCGACGCCGACUGUGAUGCCGACCACUCCCUCGGCAGUGGGCUGAAGGCCCCCCUCGGCCGCGCGUCAUUCUCCAUGGGCGCCCGCGCCUGGGAUGUGCCGAUCGACUGUGAGGCUAGGGUUCGGCGGGUGCGGGUGGCGGCGUGACGGUGGGAGACGAAGUCUCGGGCAGACAGUCACUGGGGAGGCGAUGCUGAUUAGGGUACUUACGCGCCUGGGCUGUAAUACCACUUUGUGUAAUAGUAUUUGAAGUGGCCUGAUUAGGAGUCCAGCCCAUUUGCCGAUAUGGGCUGUAUUACUACUUUGUUUCAGAUGUAUAUAUUGACAAAAAAAU